RNAcentral lists this ribosomal RNA (402 nucleotides) under uncultured bacterium. RNAcentral describes it as "bacterial SSU rRNA". It matches the Rfam family "Bacterial small subunit ribosomal RNA", at positions 355 to 774 of the family's 1533-position model. The record is from RNAcentral.
UGGGGAAUAUUGCACAAUGGGCGAAAGCCUGAUGCAGCAACGCCGCGUGAGUGAUGAAGGCCUUCGGGUUGUAAAGCUCUGUCUUCUGGGACGAUAAUGACGGUACCAGAGGAGGAAGCCACGGCUAACUACGUGCCAGCAGCCGCGGUAAUACGUAGGUGGCAAGUGUUGUCCGGAUUUACUGGGCGUAAAGGAUGCGUAGGCGGAUACUUAAGUCAGAUGUGAAAAUCCCGGGCUUAACUUGGGAACUGCAUUUGAAACUGGGUAUCUAGAGUGCGGGAGAGGAGAGUGGAAUUCCUAGUGUAGCGGUGAAAUGCGUAGAGAUUAGGAAGAACACCAGUGGCGAAGGCGACUUUCUGGACCGUAACUGACGCUGAGGCAUGAAAGCGUGGGGAGCAAACA